ACCUCUUUCAGCCCUAUUUGCAUCUCCACUUCUUUGACAUCAGAUAUCGAGAUUUUCUGCUCUUUAAGAGAGGAAAGUGUCGAGGAAAAGCAGAAAGGCGUAACAGUUAAAUCAUCCGCCACGUGAUAAGUUGGGGAUCCUUUUAGAUAACUUCCCUGCCCAUUGGGAAACUUAACCGAAGAUAACAAGUUCAGAUAAUCAUUGUACUCAGCAGGCAAGCAUUCUUCAGCGAGGGGGAAAAUGCAGUGUGCUGAAAUGUAGCCAUGAGGUAGAAUGGGUGUCAUUAGCCUCUUUUUUCGUAUCCGGGGUAAUGAAAUGCUUGCUAUCUGCAAGGUCGGAUGUGCUCCGGUACAAGUUGUCUAUAGCCUUAACACAAGUGUUACCGGCAAGAAGAUGCUCAACUCCAACCAAUGGGAUGUAGAGGAACUAAACAGAAACUCCACAAACUGUUUAUUUGCUUGAGCAUACGCAACCUUACCAGUAGAUUGUUGUAUCAUCACUUUCAAUCUUAAAUUCCUCGAGUUGUUUGGAUUCUCUUCCUCUGUAGUGUGUGGUUGAGUCACCAUGAAUUUAGAGUAAAUCAGCUGUGUUGUUUUAUUUAGGAUGAUGUCCGACAAUGGAGUUGGGGACGUCAAGGAAGCCUUCAACAAAUUCAUAAUCUAACAAUAACAUGAUAUACACAAAUUAAAUAAAUAACUAGUUAUAACAAAGAUUGAGAUUAGAGAAAACCAAAAAUUACCUCAGUGAAGCCCAAAUCCACCUUGAUUUGCUCGGCGUUAUCCAUGUCUGUAAUGCCAAGAUAGCUAAUGACGCCUAAGAGUCCUGUCUCACUUGGAAAUAUGUGGAGAUCAUCAGAUAUUAAGAAAGAUGAUGUAUUCAUGGUGAAAACUCCAUCUCUAGAUGCAGCAGCUUCAGAUCCUUUCUCAACUACUUCUAUUUUCAUAGCAUCAUUAUAUGAGCAAAAUUUGCACCUCUUGACAUGAUCAUAGAAGAUGCUUACGCUACGAAAUCUAAAAGACUGAGGGUGAUAGAAACAAUAGAAAUAUUCAGCAGGCUGAAAAUCAGUGAUGUCGAGUUUCAGCCUCCCGUAUUCAUCUUCCAAUGAACUUGUUGGAUCAAGCAGAGUCUGCUUAGCUCCAUCAGUCCAGACGUAGGAACUGUCGAGAUUUACUAAGCUACGGUAUAAACUGCUUAAGCUACCAAUGGAAGGCGCCUCGUCUCCAUAGUGCUUCUCGAGGACUUUCACAAUUCUUCCCAAUGGCAAACUCAAGAAGCUUAACAAAAUGUCUGCAAAAUGGCUGUCGGAGUCUGCAAAGAGUACCUUAGUUCUCUCUUUAUUGAUCAUCACUUUCAACGAAAAUGUAGCACCCUUUUUAUCAUCAGUCAUUCUUGAAUUUGAUACAGAAGUCGUCACUGCACUAAUUAGUUUAUAUGUGUAUUGAUCUAAUAGUAGAAUAUAAUUAAUGUUUGAGGUUAAAGGUAUCAAGAUUGCUAUUUGGACAUAAUAUGUUCAUAUAUAAAAUGGUCAAAUAUAUAAAAAUCGAUUAAUUUAAAAAUUUUGGCUCAAAAUAAAAAAGGAUUAAUUUAGUUAAUUAAAAAUAAAGACAGCUACAAUGUGAACAAAAUUUUAAAACUAGCUAAUUUUUUUUUAUUUUUUUAAAUCGAAAAUUUUAUAUUAAUUUUAUUUUGUAUAUAUUCAUUCAUGACCCAAAAAAACCCAUCUUUUCGUCAAAUUCUGUCAUUAUUCAAAACCAAAAUCUAGUUUCCUGAGAGUCCAAUUAAAUCCUUCAUAAAGACUAAAAGAAGCUCGAAUUAAACAUCUCUUACUCGGGUAAUUCUAUCUAUAUCAAAGCCUAUUUUUCAGAAAAAUUAAAAUUUAGUGUAUUUUAUUUCAAAUUUUAAAGAUUGCGAGCAAAAUCAAAAUCCGUCUAAAUUUUAUGUAUUUUGUGGCAAUUUACCCAUAAACAUAGUAGUAAUUAACUAAUUAAUAAACAAUUAAAAAUAGACACAGUGUGAACAAGAGAUGAAUAAGUCAAGAAUUACCUGAUUUCCAAAUUUAUAAAAAUUGGGGAUUUUCAAGAGAAAAAAGACAGAUUUUCAAGUCAACCCAGAAGAAAAUAUGUUGUUGGAUGAGGGUGGCUGAGCUCGCGGCGGAGGAAGAAGAGAGGAGUGGAUAGAUGAGUGAGAGAGAAGCACUGUCAUUAUUUGGCUACUAAAGCAAAAUGGAGCAAACAGUUGAGCUAUGCCAUUGGCGAAUCUUUGCUUUUUCACUUUUUUUUUAAACUUCUUUUUCUGUUUUUCAACUUUUUCUUUUCCAUGUUUUUGGUUUGUCGGUUUCACAAAAAGUACUAUUGCAUGACUUUAUUUGACGCAAUUGUAAUUUAAUACUCCGUGCGCCAAAAUUAGACUACUUUGGUUGAGCACGAAAUUUAAUAAAAUUGGUGAUGAUUUUGAUGUAGUGGAGAAAAUGUCCCACCACUUUAUUAGAUGUGUGGUUGAGAUUGAAUUUGGGCUAGUUUUUUUUGUAAAUAAAAAGUGUUUGUAAGGAUAAAAGAUUAAAGUAGGUAGUAGGACCAUUUCCAUAAAAGGAAAGUGGUAUGCUUUUUGCGGACGCUCAAUAUAAUAAAAAUGGUCUACUUUUGGCGGACGGAGGGAGCAUGUUUGAACAAAAAAGUAGUUAAAUACUUUAACAAAUAUAUUUAUUUAAAACUUUUGAUUAAAAAAAUAGUUAUUUUUAUUAUUUUCUCCAUAUUUUAUUUUAUAAUUUUUAAUAUUUUAUUUAAAAAUUGUUAUUUUUAAAGAGCAUAAAAAUUACAAAUAAAAAGUAAAAAUUAAAAUAGCACCUUAGAUUUCUCUCUAUUGAUCAUCACUUUCAACGAAAACGUAGCAUUCUUGUUCUUGUUUUUCUCAGACAUUUUGGUGGAGGCGAAGAUUUUUCUACAAUUCUAUUUUCUUAUUUGUGAAACAUCAACCUUUCAAGUUCAACCAUAUUAAUAUUCCAUUUUCAGGUGUCUUGAAAUUCGGAAUUUGUUGCUGGUUAAUCAAUUUUAAUUAGGAGUGAAUGCAGAAGGUGUGGCUUUUAGUGGGACUAGUGACUCUUGGUUAACUCCUUCCUCAUAAACAAGGGAGUGAAUGUAGAAAAAAAUCGAAUUAGUAUCUUCAUCUGUUAUUUAGAUCUAAAUCCAAACACAGCCAAAUAUAAAACCUAGUAUUAAAAAAGUGACUUGUUUUACAAAAUUUGAUUUGCCUAUUAUAUCCCUCAUAUAUACUUAGAUUAAGGUUAAUUGUGUAAUUUAAUAUAUUAUACUUAUAAUAUAUCUAUAAAUAUAUUAUGGUUUAUCUUUUAUAUUUUAAUAGCUAUUUAAGUAGUAGUAUCCAUUAGGACUCUUCAUCAUAUAAGUUAUUAUUUUUUUAUUACAUAAUUAUAAUAAUUUAGAAUUAAAAUACAAAGGAUUACUUAAGUAAUAGUAUCCAUUAGAAUUAGUAAAUCGAAAGAUUUCAGCGAGUCCUCUCUUUUAUGGGGGAAGAAGUUAACCGAAGAGUCGUUAAUUAGUCCUCCAAAUUCCAAGACACUCUACAAAUUACAAGAAUCAUUAGAGAAAUUAACCAAGCGCCGCUAGUCCCACCAAAUUCCAAGACAUAAACUUGUUAAAUAGGUUUGAUUUAUUUAAUUUAUUUUUUAAAAUAAAAAUAAUUAUUAUUUUUCCUUAUAUUGUUUAUAUUUUAUUUAUUUUUUGUAAUUUUUUAUUUUUUUAGAAAUAAAAUAGAAAAGUGCAAAAAAAAAGGUACAAUUAAUAUAGACAAUACAAUAAAUUAGUUAAAAGCUAUUUUUAAUUUUAAAAAUAAACUAAAUAAAUCAAAAAAAUUAUCCUAUUGAACUAAUUUGUGAGUGGUCCUGAUGUGAUUGCAUAUAUUUAUUGUUUGGUUGAUUUCCCGGUUUUAUUUACGAUUAAAAAAGUGAAGUAGAAGUAUCUCUUCCAACUAAAUUACCGAUUUUGUGUGUAGGUGGAAUACAAUUUAAAUUUGAAUAAGUUUCAUUUUAAACGUAGGUUAUAGAAAUUUGAUGCAUGCAUGUGAUUUUCUUUAUAGGUGUAUUGAGUGAUGUCACACAAUUCUUUAUUCUUUUGAAUUAUUGAAUGAAUUAUAUGUGACAACAAUUUCAUAAAUAUUAGGAGAUCAAAUGAAUUCUUGCUGCUUAAUUCCAAGUUAGCUGCGGACGUUUAAUUUUGUAUCUCAUAAAGAGAGUGAAUGCAGAGAGUCUCGGAAUUUGGUAGGACUAAUGACUCUUAGGUUAAAGUUGUCGUUGAAAGUGAUGAUAAAUAUAGAGAGAAAUGAGGUACACAAUAUAUAUUUCGAAUUUUUACUCAUCCUACUCCAAUAACAUUUAUGAUAAUUCUUAUUUCAACAAACAAAUAAUAGUUACUCCAUCUCAUAUAUUGUGCAACUUAAAUUUUUUUAUACUCAUAUAGUAUUAAAUAAUUAAUUAAAUUUUAAAUAUAAACCAGUUAGGUGAUAAAAUGCAUCUCAUCUAGCUGCUUAAUUCGAAGCUAGCUACUGCAUGGAGUUUAAUUUGAUUUAGUAUCACAUAAAGAGAGCGAAUGCAGACAGAGACGGAUCUAAAGGCCGGGCAGCCUCGGCGGUCGCCCGGUCAUUUUUUUAUUACCUAUAUAUAUAUAUAUAUAUAUAUAUAUAUAUAUAUUAUUAUUUANNNNNNNNNNNNNNNNNNNNNNNNNNNNNNNNNNNNNNNNNNNNNNNNNNNNNNNNNNNNNNNNNNNNNNNNNNNNNNNNNNNNNNNNNNNNNNNNNNNNNNNNNNNNNNNNNNNNNNNNNNNNNNNNNNNNNNNNNNNNNNNNNNNNNNNNNNNNNNNNNNNNNNNNCACUUUAUAAAUAGCUUUCAACUUCUUUAUUUUUCCAAUGUGGGAUGACACUCCACAUUUCCAUCUUCAAUGGCUAUCUUUGGGCAUUAAUUACUCAUUCAAUUCUUAAUAGAUUUGAACAAGUAAAUAUACCAAAUUAAUCUACUCAAAAUGUAGAUUCCAAAUAUACCAUUUAAUUCCAUUAAUUACAAAGUAAUUAUGGACUAAUAAAAGCCAUUUAUUCCAACAAUAUAUAACAACUAAGAUUUCAAAUGAUACAGGUUACCUCUUUCAGCCCGAUUUGCAUCUCCACUUCUUUGACAUCAGAUAUCGAGAUUUUCUGCUGUUUAAGAGAGGAAAGUGUCGAGGCAAAGAAGAAAGGCGUAACAGUUAAAUCAUCGGCCACGUGAUAAGCUGGCGAUCCUUUAAGAUAACUUCCCCGCCCAUUGGGAAACUUGACAGAAGAAAACAUCGAUAUAUUAUCAUAGUCAGCAGGCAAGGAUUCUUCAGUGAGGGGGAAAAUGUAGUCUUUCGAAAUGUAGCCAUGAGGUAGAAUGGGAGUCAUUAGUCUCUUUUUCGUAUCCGGGGUAAUGAAAUGCUUGCUAUCUGCAAGGUCGGAUGUGUUCCGGUACAAGUUGUCUAUAGCCUUAACACAAGUGCUACCGGCAAGAAGAUGCUCAACUCCUACCAAUGGGAUGUAGAGGAAACUAAACAGAAACUCUACAAACUGUUUAUUAGCUUGAGCAUACGCAACCUUACCAGUAGAUUGUUGUAUCAUCACUUUCAAACUUAAAUUCGUAGAGUUAUUUGGAUUCUCUUCCUCUGUAGUGUGUGGUUGAGACACCAUGAGUGUAGAGUAAAUCAGCUGUGUUGUUUUAUUUAGGAUGAUGUCCGACAAUGGAGUUGGGGACGUCAAGGAUGCCUUCAACAAAUUCAUAAUCUAACUAACAUGAUAUACACAAAUUAAAUAAAUAACUAGUUAUAACAAAGAUUGAGAUUAGAGAAAACCAAAAAUUACCUCAGUGAAGCCCAAAUCCACCUUGAUUUGCUCGGCGUUAUCCAUGUCUGUAAUGCCAAGAUAGCUAAUGACGCCUAAGAGUCCUGUCUCACUUGGAAAUAUGUGGAGAUCAUCAGAGAUUAAGAAAGAUGAUGUAUUCAUGGUGAAAACUCCAUCUCUAGAUGCAGCAGCUUCAGAUCCUUUCUUAACUACUUCUAUUUUCAUAGCAUCAUUAUAUGAAGCAAAAUUUGCACCUCUUAACAUGAUCAUAGUAGAUGCUUACGCUACGAAAUCUAUAAGACUGAGAGUGAUAGUAGGAUAUUUACAAUAGAAAUAUUCAGCAGGCUGAAAAUCAGUGAUGUCGAGUUUCAGCCUCCCGUAUUCAUCUUCGAAUGAACUUGUUGGAUCAAGCAGAGUCUGCUUAGCUCCAUCAGUCCAGAAAUAGGCACUGUCGAGAUUUGCUAAGCUACGGUACAAACUGCUUAAGCUACCAACGGAAGGCGGCUCGUCUCCAUAGUGGUGGUCGAGGAUUUUGACAAUUCUUCCCAACGGCAAAGUCAAGAAGCUUAACAAAAUGUCUGCGAAGUGGCUGUCGGAGUCUGCAAAGAGUACCUUAGUUCUCUCUUUAUUGAUCAUCACUUUCAACGAAAAUGUAGCACCCUUUUUAUCAUCAGCCAUUCUUGAAAUAUAUAUGUGGUACAAACAAAGAAAUAUUUGAACAAUGUAAUCGGAAGAUUUCAGCAAACCCUCCAUUUUUAUGGGGGAAGAAGUUAACCUAAGAGUCGUUAGUUUAGUGCCUCCAAAUUCCAAGAAUCGUUAGAAAAAUUAACCAAGCGCCACUAGUCCCACCAAAUUCCAAGACCCAUCGGAUUGUAUUUGAUUAACUUCCCAAUUUUAAAAAAUAAAAAAAAAAAAUAAAAAAAAUCGAUCUAUUUUAGAUUGGAAAAGUGAAGUAGAAGUACCUCUUCCAACUAAUUAAAUUACCGAUUUAGUGUCAAUAUAGACCACAAUUUAAAUUUAAAUAAGUUUCAUUUUAGAUAUAGGUUUACAAAUUUGAUGCAUGCAUGUGAUAACAAUUUCAUAAUUUUUUUUUUGAAACAAUUUCAUAAAUAUUAGGAGAUCAAAUGCAUCCCAUAUGUAGCUGCUCAAUUCCAAGUUAGCUACUGACGUUUAAUUUGAUUUUGUAUCUCAUAAAGAGAGUGAAUGCAAGGAGUCUUGGAAUUUGGUGGGACUAAUGACUCUUAGGUUAACUUCUUCCCCAUAAAAAGGGAGGGUUUGGUGAAAACUAUCGAUUACAUUAUUAUCUCAAGAAUGUCUGAUGUUGAGAAGGAUGUCAAGUUGUCGUUGAAAGUGAUGAUAAACAAAGAGAGAAAUGAGGUACUCUUUGCAGAAGCCGACAACCAUUUCACAGACAUUUUGUUAAGCUUCUUGAGUUUGCCGUUGGGAAGAAUUUUCAAAGUCUUCAAGAAGCACUAUGGUGAUGAGCUUCCUACCAUUGGAAGCUUAAGCAGUUUGUACCAUAGCUUAACAAAUCUUGAUAGCGCCCAUUUUGUGACGGAGGGUGCUAAGCAGACUCUGCUCAGUCCAACCAGUUUAUUUGAAGAUGAAUACAAAAGGCUGAAACUCGAUAUCACUGAUUCUCCGCCUGCUGAAUAUUUCUAUUGUUCAUCCUGUUACCCUCAUGAUAGAUUUCAUAUUAUAAGCAUGUACUAUGACUCUGUUGAGCGUUGCAAAUGUUACCGUAGUAUGAUGAAAGAAGUAGCUAAAAAAGGGUCUGAAGCAGCUAGUGAUGGAGUGUUUACUAUACGUAAAGCAUCUUUCACAAUCUCUGAUGAUCUUCAAAUAUUUCCAAAUGAGAUUGGACUCCUACCAAUCACCACCCUUCUUGGCAUUACAGAUGCCCAUAAGGCUGAGGAAAUCAAAGUGGAUCUUGGCUUCAAUGAGGUGAUUUCUUGAAUAUUCUCUAAUUAAUCUCAAUCUUUGUUAUAACUAGUUAUUUAUAUUUUGUCAUUUUUGUGUUUAUAUGGUUGUUAGAUUAUGAAUUUGUUGAAGGCUUCCUUGACGUCCCCAACUCCAUUGUCGGACGUAAUCCUGAAUAAAACAACAACACAGAUGAACUCUGCAAAGAUUCCGUUGCAUGAGAUUGUAGAGAAAAAAAACCCCAAUUCUAGGAAUUUAAGUUUGAAAGUCACCAUACAAAAAUCUACAGGUAAGUUUCUGUAUGCUCAAGCUAAGGCAGAUUUUAUGGAGUUUCUAUUUGGUUUCUUCAACAUCCCACUAGGAGGAGUUGGGCAUCUUCUUGCUGGCAAGACUGGUUUCAAGGCUAUAAACAACUUGUAUCGGAGCACAACUGACCUUAUAAACGACAAGUAUUUCAAGACCUCGGAUAUGAAAAGAAGGCUAAUGAAACCCAACUUGUUUCAUGGUUGCACUUCCAAAAACAACAUUCUUGCUCUUGUCGAAGAACCCUUGCCUGAUGACUUCGAUAAAGCUGAAUUUUCUUCAGUCAAGUUUCCCAAAGGGAAGGGUAGGUAUCUUGAAGGAGCAGCAACUUAUAAGGUGACAGAUGACUUAACUGUGACCCCUUUUUGCACUGUCUCCAUUCUUUCUACUCUGAAUAGCUUGAAAAUCCCAAUAAAUGACGUCGAAGAAAGGGAUCUGCAAAUCGGAUUGAAAGAGAUAAUCAUUGAAUCUUUUUAUAAAUGAUUUUUUUUAGCAUAUUUUGAGAUGAAGUUUGUUGGUGCAGGGCUUGAGCAUACUGAAAGCUUCUCUUACAUCCACUUCUGCUCUCACAGAUUCUCUCCUCAGUCAUAAAUCGAGCAAGAAACGGAAGAAAGAACUCGCAGGCUGAUCCUUGGUUGCAACUAUUACAAAUAUUAGCAACUCUAUAUAUGGUGCUUAUAUUUGCUUUUGCUUUUUAUUGUGAUCCUAAUAUUUUCAAGGACCUAUUUUUCAUAUGCAAGUUACUGUUUUUGUUUCUGUGUUGUCCUUAUAUGAGAGAAAGCAUACUCUUGAAAUUACUUCUAAUUUAUUGACAAUAUUGCCUCGCUCACAUGAUCAGACGAAUCCACCCUAAAAAAUAACUACUGAAACUUGAAAAAAUUUACACUAAACUUGCAAAUAAUAAAAAGAUUUUCUUUUUCAUUUCUUGGAAUCGUGCAACAGGCUGAUAUCGAGGAUGAGAUCUAGUGUACCAUAAACGAUGUCUCAUUCCAUGUCUCACUAUUAAAAUGACGUAGUUUUAAUUAUAACUCUAAUAUGUACAUAAUUGAUAUCAUCAUUCUAAAGUAAAGGAAGGAAUUACACAAAAAAUCAUAUGGUUCUUUUGCUUCCCAAUUUGUUCUUCUACUCAAAUCCAAAUCAUUCUGCCGGUAAGGCUUGUGUUAAGGCUAUAGACAACAUGUAUUAGAACACAUGUGAAUAUAUGGAUAACGUAUCUCAUAACCUCGGAUACGAAGAAGAGGAUAAUAAAACCUAAUGUGGUUCAUGGCUGUAUAGAGAGAAACACUUACAUCCCCUUCUGUUCUCACCGAUGAUCUCCUAACUCGCACAUCGAAUAAACAAAUAAUUGGAGAAGUAUGAGUUUGAUCCACACAACAAUUUUGCUGCAUAAUUAUAUAACUAAUAUUGUUUGCUUAUGUUAAUAGCUAUGGUUCUUAAAUUAAACAAUCUUCAUAGUGUAUUAUGAGAGUUAUGCAUCUAUUGAUCUCUUUGAUGAUGCAUUGUUUAAAUCAUUUAAAAAUUCAAUAAAAUACAUUAUUUCAAAUGUUUACUCAUCCUAACCCAAUAACAUGUACGAUAAUUCUUAUUUCAACAAACGAACAAUAGGUACUCCAACUCAUAAAUUCUAAUUAGCAAAAUAUUACUUAUAGAUUUUCGUUUUUGUGACUUCCUAUCAUAUCUGGGCUCGGAUCACAAAGAAGGAUGACAAUGGGCUCAUAUCUACAUUUGGUCUAGAUCCAUUAACUUUGAAAAAAAAAUUAAAUAUAGGUCAAAAUUCAUAAAAUCCACAACUAAUUUAUGUAAUUCGAUUAAUUUAUUUAAAUUGGUUAUUGCAAUUGAAGUUAGCAAAAAUAAAUAAAGGAUAAAUCCUUUCGGAUCAAAUUGAUCCGAAUCAAUGAUAAUAAUAUUGUCAAAAUAUUUAAAUUGAAAAUGUAUCUUACCUUAAAUGCCCUUAAUAAAAAUUUAGAAUUCAAAAUAUUAAAUUUAUUAUUCAUAUACAUAAAUUCAAAUGUUUUUCCAUUUUUCUAGGCCAUUAAUUGAAUUCGUAAAUAUAAAAAUUGUACGUUAGUCUCCUUAAAUUUAUGAACUUAAUUAAAUGAAUUUAUGAUUAUAACAAUUUCGGUUAGUCUAUCAAUAAAAUUAUGAAUCUUCUUCCAAGUCUCCUGAGCUUUAUGCAAAGUAUCACGAUUGCAUCGAACGAAAAUUUAAACGAAUAAUCAACUAAAAAUUAAUUAAAAUGGCGAAUCUUCUUCCAAGUUAGACUCUGGUGGGACGACGUUUGGUUAGUUUCUCUAUCUCGUAAAAAGGUAGUGAUAUCAAUGCGUAGAAUCUUGGAAUUUGGUUGGACUAAUGACUCUUUGGUGGGUUAAUUUCUUGCCUUAAAAAAAAGCGAGGGUUUGCAGACAAAUCUUGAUAGCAAUCUAAGUUUUCAUCUCCAUUACCACAAAUAUUACUAAUUUUCUACACAUUUUAGCAGAAUGUCUGAUGCUAAUAAAGAUGUCAAGUUGUCGUUGAAAGUGAUGAUGAAUAAAGAUAAAACUAAGGUUCUCUUUGCAGAAGCCGACGGCCAUUUUAUAGACAUUUUGUUAAGCUUCUUGACUUUGCCGUUGGGAAGAAUUAUCGAAAUCUUCCACAACCAGUAUGGAGAAAAGGCACCCACCAUUGGAAGCUUAAGCAGUUUGUAUCGUAGCUUAGAAAAUCUCGAUGACGCCCACUUUGUGACGGAGGCUGCUCAGCGGGCUCUGCUCUAUCCAAUCAGUUCAUUUGAAGAUGCAUACAAAAGGCUGAAACUGGACAUCACUGAUUCUCUGCCUGAGAAGUAUUUCUGCUGUUUCUUAGCCUCUCAUGGUAGAUUUCCUAGUUUAAGCAUCUACUAUGAUAAUCUCACUUGCAGAAUCUGUGGCAAUAUGAUGAGAAAAGAAGCAGCUAAAAACCUAUCUAGAGCUUCUUCGAGUGAUGGAGUGUUCACGAAAAGUAAAGCAUCUUUCACAAUCUCCGGUGAUCUGCAAAUAUUUCCAAAUGAAAUUGGGCUCCUACCAUUCAUCACCCUUCUUGGCAUUACAGACGCGCAUGAGGCGGAGGAAAUCCAAGUGUCGUUUGGGUUCGAUGAGGUGAUUCUUGUUUCUUUAAUCUCAAUUUUCCACCUUUUUUUUGGGAUUAAUUGGUUAUAAUCCAGAAAGGGGUUAGUGCCUAGAUUAGAAUCGUAAUUUUAGGAAAAUUUCGAAAAUAAUCCAAGUUGAUCAUGGCUUUGUUAGUUUGUUUACUAAUCUAUACCUAUAAAAUUUGAUUCGUCUAUAAUAUCUGUCAUAUAUAUUUAUUUUAAGGUUAAUUGUGUAUUUUAAUAUUUUUUAUAUAUAAUAAAUCUAAAAAAAUAAGUUAUGAUUUAUAUUUUAAUUAGUAUUUAAGUGGUAGUACCUAUUAGGACUCUUCAUCCACAUAAAUUACUGUUCUUUAUUCUCUAAAGUUAGUAAUUUAGAAUCACAGUAUUACUUAAUACUAGUUUUAUUAGAAGAAUUCUUGGAUUAAAAUUAAUUAUAUAAAGAUGAAACCUAGAAAACAAACAUGAAUUUUAUAUACUUUUAUUUUUGGUUAUGUUUUUUUCUGUGGACGUCCAAAAUUAGUUGGUACUUAAUAAAUUAAAAUUAAAUUUCAUACAAAAUUUAGAUAUUACAUAACUUUUAAAAAAUUAUUGUCAUAAAAGUUACUCCCUCUUUCCACGAAAGAAUUUCCUAUCUUUCCUUGUUGGGAUGUCCACAAAAGAACUUCCUAUUUAUUUUUGGACUAUACCCCACCACUUAUGAUCUUCUUACUUUUCAAUUUUCACAACUCUCAAUAUUAAUUAUAACACUUUUUCACCACUUCUAGUACACUCAACUACCUUUUAUCCACUCUCAAUACACUCAACAAUAUUUUUUCUUAAAAUUCAUGUCACUUCCUCCUAGAAAGUUCUUUUAUGGACGGAGGGAGUGCUAUAUAGUAUUAAAGUAAUUCAUUUUUACGGGCAAACACAAUCAUUUCUGCUAGUAAUCUAUAUAAAUUUGUAGCCGAUUAACCCUUUUUUUUUUAAUGAGAUGUUAGAUUAUGGACUUGUUGAAGGCAUCAUUGACGUCGCCAACUCCAUUGUCGGACCUCAUCCUACGUAAAAAAACAAAGAGUUCAACUGCAGCUAUUUCAAUGCAUGAAAUUGUGAACGAGAUAAACCCCAAGUGUAGGAAUUUAAGUUUGAAAUUGAUGAUACGAAAAUCCACCGGUGAGCUUUUGUACGCUCAAGCUCAGGAAGAUUUCGUAGAGUUUCUAUUUGGUUUGCUCACCAUUCCACUAGGAGGAUUGGAGCAUCUUCAAGCCGGCAAGUCUUGUUUUACGGCGAUAAACAACUUGUAUCGGAGCACGGCUGAACUAGACGACAAGUAUUUCAAGACCUCGGAGACGAAGAAGAGGCUUAUGAAUCCCCAUUUGCCUCAUGGUUGCAUCUCCCCAAACCAGAUUCUUCCCCUCACUGAAGAAUGCUUGCCUGCUGAGUACAUUGAUAAUCUCUCGCUCUUUUCUUCGGUUGCGUUUCCUGAAGGCCAGGGAAGAUAUCUCGAGCGACCAACAACUUAUUUGGUGAGCGAUAAUUUGACUGUGACUCCUUACUUUACUGUUUCUGCUCUUUGCCGUAUGAAUAAGGAGAAGAUUCCGAUAUCUGAUGUUGAAGAAAUGCAGCUGCAAAUUGGAUUGAAAGAGGUAAAUACAACUUUGAUAGCUUUUAAUUGUAUAUAUGUUUAGAUGUUGAGAGCAAAUUUGUUGAUGGGUGCAGGCUUUGAGCAUACUGAAAGCUUCUCUUACAUCCACCACAGCUCUCUCCGAUGCUCUGCUCAAUACUUACCCGUCGCACAAACGACAAAAGAAAUAAUUUUGAUUGCAUCGUUUGAAUGUCCCUUGAUGGAAAAUAAUAAUGAGCUUAUGAAAGCUAGUAUUGUAGACAUAAUUUAUGAGUUUUCAAAGAAGUAUUCUCUUGUGCCAGUUAAUUAAGAUCUUCGAGUCUAAAAUAGACGUCUUAAUUUUGUUAUUUGUUCAUUCAUUAAAAACUCUGAUUUUGCUAAUAUCACUGUGGAUCUAGUUUCCACCAAUUUAUAUUUUAUUCAUAUUUAAUAUAAAUUAAUUUCAAAGCUAUUUCUAAUUAAUAUAAAAAAAAUUUAUUAUUUUAUAAAUAUUGUAUAACAAAAUUAACAAAAUUAGUAAUUAUUUUAGUUUUUACUUUUUAUUUGUAAUUUUUAUGCUUUAAAAAUAAUAAUUUUUAAAAAAAUUAUAAAAAUUACAAAAAUAAUAAUUAGCAACUAUGGUGCUUAUGUUUGCUUUUGUUUUUUCAUAUGAUCCUAGAUAUUCCAGUCACUUAGACCUUUUCUUCAUAUGCAAAUUAUUUGUUUUUUGUUUCUGUAGAAAGCAUAAUCUUGAAAGUUAUACAACUAAAAUCGAACUGUCAAAUGGAAUUACUCCAAUUUAAAAUGUCGAAAUAUUCAUUGACAAUAUAUACUACCUCGCUAACAAAAUCAGAGCAAUCCACAACUAAAAAUAACUACUGAAACUUGAAAUAGUUUACACUAAACUUGCGACGAAUGGAAAAAAAAUAAGAUUUCCUUUUUCAUUUGUUGGAAUCCCACACCAUGUCCAACUAUCAAAACCAUCUGACAUUUAAACAAAAUCAUGUUUAUAUUCCAAAAAUUAUUAUUUCUCACACCCGAAAGAUGACGGGUGAUAUCUGAUGUAGCCUAAAUAUUUGAAAGCUAUAGUGAAUAAAGAGAUGCAACGUGCUACGAUUGUGAGAAUCUUGAAGAAGCACUAUUUGAAUCUCUGAAUAUCUAGUUGUAGUGAUUUCUGGUUAUAUCAUUUUUUGCAUUUUCGUUUUAUGUUUUGUGGUAUAUGCAUAUUAAGAGCAUCCCUUACAUCUGAUUAUGAUUCUGCUUGGCAUUAUCAUAAAAUCUGAGGCACAAAAAAUCUCUCUUUUGUAAGAAGUCAUUAAUUAUUUCAAGUUCCACGGCCGUGAGUUCAAUUUUCAUUUGAUUGGAUAUUUAGUCUGGUUCUUGUAUUGUGAGCAUUCAGUAUGAAAUAGUGAUUAAAUUAUGAAAUUACAUUGUGAAACGAACAAUUUGAACAUACAAAAAGUGAAAUAGUUUUAAAAUGAUGAAUGGAAAAACAAGAACCAUAGUUAAAACAACAUAAAAGCACAAUGCAAAGCUAUGAAUUUAAGCCAACAAUGUCACAUUUAUGAGCAGCAAAACAAGAUCUAAAAGCAUGGAUCACACUCAGACUUCUCUCUUUGGUUGUUUGAUUGAUAUGUGACUCAAUAGAGCAUCAGAAAGAGCAGAAGUGGAUGUAAGAGAGGCUUUCAGUAUGCCCAAAGCCUGCACAAAAGAAGACAAAAUCAACAUGUAAACAUAUGCUCAAUCAUGCACAAAUAAACUCGAAGCAAACGAGAUAGUAUUUGCAUAUAGAAAAAAGAUUCAAACGAAUGGAAAAUCAAGAUACAUAACUUAAAAUAACAAUGAAGCACACAAUAACUAUUAAUAUAACAUAUAAGCCAAUAUUUGCAACAUAAAUAGGAAGAAUGGAUAUCACACUUCUCUCUUUGGCUGUUUGAUUGAUUUGCCACUCAGAAGAGCAUCAGUGAGAGCAGUAGUAGAAGCAAGAGAGGCUUUCAGUAUGCUGCAAGCCUGCACCAACACAUUUUAUCUCAACAUCUAAACAUAACUAAAUAUAACAACCAAGAUUUUAAAUGAAAGUUUACCUCUUUCAGCCCUAUUUGCAUCUCCACUUCUUUGACAUCAGAUAUCGAGAUUUUCUGCUGUUUAAGAGAUGAAAGUGAUGAGGCGAUGCAAAAAGGUGUAACGGUUAAAUCAUCAGCCACGUGAUAAGUUGGAGAUCCUUUAUGAUAACUUCCCUUCCCAUUGGGAAACUUAACAGAAGAAAAAUGGCUUCUAUCAUUGUAGUCAGCAGGCAAUCUUUCUUCAAUGAGAGGGAAAAUGUGGUCUUUCGAAAUAUAGCCAUGAGGUAGAAUGGGAGUCAUUAGCCUCUUUUUCGUAUCCGGGGUAAUGAAAUGCUUGCUAUCUAUAAGGUUGGAUGUGUUCCCGUACAAGUUGUCUAUAGCCUUAACACAGGUGUUACCGGCAAGAAGAUGCUCAACUCCUCCCAGUGGGAUGUAGAGGAAACUAAACAGAAACUCUACAAACUGUUUCUUAGCUUGAGCAUACAAAAACUUACCAGUAGAUUGUUGUAUCAUCACUUUCAAACUUAAAUUCCUAGAGUUAUUGGGAUUCUCUUCCUUUCGCAGUGUGUGGUUGAGACACCAUGAUGUAGAGUAAAUCUGAGUUGUUUUACUUAGGAUGAUGUCCGAUAAUGGAGUUGGGGACGUCAAGGAUGCCUUCAACAAAUUCAUAAUCUAACAGAAAUAGGGAUAACAAUUAAGGUAAAUUAAAGAAAAAUGAGUGGGAGGAAGAUUGAGAUUAUGGAAACAAGAAUCACCUCAUUGAAGCCCAAAUCCACCUUGAUUUGCUCGGCAUUAUCCAUGUCUGUAAUGCCAAGAAAGCUAAUGAUACCUAAGAGUCCUGUCUCAUUUGGAAAUAUGUGGAGAUCAUCAGAGAUUAUGAAAGAUGAUGUAUUCAUGGUGAAAACUCCAUCUCUAGAUGCAGCAGCUUCAGAUCCUUUCUUAACUACUUCUAUUUUCAUAGAACCAUCAUUUGAGCAAAAUUUGCACCUCUUGAUGUGAUCAUAGUAGAUGCUUACGCUACGAAACCGAGAGUGACUUAUGGGAUAAAUACUACAAUAUAAAUAUUUAGCAGGCUGAAAAUCAGUGAUGUCUAGUUUGAGCCUUUCGUAUUCAGCUUCGGAUGAACUUGUUGGAUCGAGCAGAGUCUGCUUAUUAGCCCCAUCUGUCCAGAAAUGGGCACUGUCGAGAUCAACUACGCUACGGUACAAACUGCUUAAGCUUCCAAUGGUAGGCGCCUCGUCUCCAUAGUGCUUCUCAAGGACUUUCACAAUUCUUCCCAACGGCAAACUCAAGAAGCUUAACAAAAUAUCUGCAAAAUGGCUGUCAGCUUCUGCGAAGAAUACCUUAGUUCUCUCUUUAUUGAUCAUCACUUUCAACGGAAAUGUAGCACCCUUUUUGUCAUCAGACAUUCUUGACAAUAUAAAUGUGGAACAAACAAAGGAAUUUUAGGAUAAUGUAAACGAAAGUAAAUCGAAAGAUUUCAGCAAGUCCUCUCUUUUGUGGGGGAAGAAGUUAACCGAAGAGUCGUUAAUUAGUCCAUCCAAAUUCCAAGACACUCUACAAAUUACAAGAAUCAUUAGAGAAAUUAACCAAGCGCCGCUAGUCCCACCAAAUUCCAAGACAUAAACUUGUUAAAUAGGUUUGAUUUAUUUAAUUUAUUUUUUAAAAUAAAAAUAAUUAUUAUUUUCCUUAUAUUGUUUUCAUUUUAUUUAUUUUUUUAGAAAUAAAAUAGAAAAGUGCAAAAAAUAGGUACAAUUAAUAUAGACAAUACAAUAAAUUAAUAAAAAGCUAUUUUUAAUUUUAAAAAUAAACAAAAUAAAUAAAUAAAAUUCCUAUUGAACUAAUUUGUGAGUGGUCCUAAUGUGAUUGCAUAUAUUUAUUGUUUGGUUAAUUUCCCGGUUUUAUUUACGAUUAAAAAAGUGAAGUAGAAGAAGUAUCUCUUCCAACUAAAUUACCGAUAUUGUGUGUAGGUGGAACACAAUUUAAAUUUGAAUAAGUUUCAUUUUAAAUGUAGGUUUACAAAUUUGAUGCAUGCAUGUGAUUUUCUUUAUAGGUGUAUUGAGUGAUGUCACACUAAUCUUUAUUCUUUUGAAUUUUUGAAUGAAUUAUAUAUAUAUAUGUGACAACAAUUUCAUAAAUAUUAGGAAUCAAAUGCAUCCCAUCUUGCUGCUUAAUUCCAAUUAGCUACUGACGUUUAAUUUGAUUUUGUAUCUCAUAAAGAGAGUGAAUGAGAGAGUCUUGGAAUUUGGUAGGACUAAUGAAUCUUAGGUUAACUCUUCGCCAUAAUUAAAAAGGGAGGGUAUGGUGUUAAGAAGGAUGUCAUGUCGUUGAAAGUGAUGAUAAAUAAUCAUAGUUAUGCUCUAUUGAUCUCUUUGAUGUUGCAUUGUUUAAAUCAUUUGAAGAUUCAAUAAAAGGUCUAUGACAUAAGCAUAAAUGCAAAAAAGUACAUAACAUUUCAAGAAAUUCAUGUUUAUAUUCCAAAAAUUAUUUCUGACAACCAAGAUAGUAUUUGCAUAUUGAAAAAAGACCAAACGAAUGGAAAAUCAAGAUCCAUAAUUAAAAUAAAAAUGAAGCACCAUAACUAUUAAUAUGGAGUAACAUAUAAUUAAGCCAAUACUUGCAACAUAUAUAUAGGAAGCAUGGAUCACACUUCUCUCUUUGGUCUGUUUGAGUGAUUUGCGAAUCAUCAGAGCAUCAGUGAGAGCAGUAGUAGAUGUAAGAGAGGCUUUCAGUAUGCUGCAAGCCUGCACCAACAAAAUUUAUUUCAGCAUCUAAACAUACAUUCAGAAAUAUAACAACCAAGAUUUCAAAUAUACAGUUUAAUCACCUCUUCAGCCCUAUUUGCAUCUCCACUUCUUUGACAUCAGAUAUCGAGAUUUUCUGCUCUUUAAGAGAGGAAAGUGUCGAGGAAAAGCAGAAAGGCGUAACAGUUAAAUCAUCCGCCACGUGAUAAGUUGGGGAUCCUUUUAGAUAACUUCCCUGCCCAUUGGGAAACUUAACCGAAGAUAACAAGUUCAGAUAAUCAUUGUACUCAGCAGGCAAGCAUUCUUCAGCGAGGGGGAAAAUGCAGUGUGCUGAAAUGUAGCCUGAGGUAGAAUGGGUGUCAUUAGCCUCUUUUUCGUAUCCGGGGUAAUGAAAUGCUUGCUAUCUAAGUCGGAUGUGUCGGUACAAGUUGUCUAUAGCCUUAACACAAGUGUUACCGGCAAGAAGAUGCUCAACUCCACCAAUGGGAUGUAGAGGAAACUAAACAGAAACUCCACAAACUGUUUAUUUGCUUGAGCAUACGCAACCUUACCAGUAGAUUGUUGUAUCAUCACUUUCAACUUAAAUUCCUCGAGUUGUUUGGAUUCUCUUCCUCUGUAGUGUGUGGUUGAGUCACCAUGAAUUUAGAGUAAAUCAGCUGUGUUGUUUUAUUUAGGAUGAUGUCCGACAAUGGAGUUGGG
This 18260-nucleotide long non-coding RNA is filed under the name Salvia miltiorrhiza (redroot sage). RNAcentral's name for it is "long non-coding RNA (SMIL_LNC005230)". Lineage: Eukaryota; Viridiplantae; Streptophyta; Magnoliopsida; Lamiales; Lamiaceae. The record is from RNAcentral.